RNAcentral lists this ribosomal RNA (494 nucleotides) under uncultured bacterium. RNAcentral's name for it is "bacterial SSU rRNA". It matches the Rfam family "Bacterial small subunit ribosomal RNA", at positions 28 to 521 of the family's 1533-position model. The record is from RNAcentral.
GAUGAACGCUAGCGGGAGGCCUAAUACAUGCAAGUCGAACGGUAACAGGUAGCAAUACGCUGACGAGUGGCGCACGGGUGCGUAACGCGUACACAAUCUGCCUUAUACUGGGGCAUAGCCUUUGGAAACGAAGAAUAAUUCCCCAUAAUAUAUAGAAGAGGCAUCUCUUUUAUAUUAAAGCUCAGGCGGUAUAAGAUGAGUGUGCGUCCGAUUAGGUAGUUGGUGAGGUAACGGCUCACCAAGCCAACGAUCGGUAGCUGGUCUGAGAGGAUGAUCAGCCACACGGGCACUGAGACACGGGCCCGACUCCUACGGGAGGCAGCAGUAGGGAAUAUUGGACAAUGGGCGCAAGCCUGAUCCAGCCAUCCCGCGUGAAGGAUGAAGGUCCUCUGGAUUGUAAACUUCUUUUCUUCGGGAAUAAAAACUGGGGUUCUCCUCAGCUUGAAGGUACCGAAGGAAUAAGCACCGGCUAACUCCGUGCCAGCAGCCGCGGU